This 500-nucleotide ribosomal RNA is filed under the name uncultured Glomus. RNAcentral's name for it is "SSU rRNA". It matches the Rfam family "Eukaryotic small subunit ribosomal RNA", at positions 569 to 1074 of the family's 1831-position model. Lineage: Eukaryota; Fungi; Glomeromycota; Glomeromycetes; Glomerales; Glomeraceae. The record is from RNAcentral.
AGCAGCCGCGGUAAUUCCAGCUCCAAUAGCGUAUAUUAAAGUUGUUGCAGUUAAAAAGCUCGUAGUUGAGUUUCGGGAUCAAUAUGUUGGUCGUGCCUCGAUACGUACUAGCAUAUUGGUUUCUCCUUUCUGAAGAACCUCGAUGUCAUUAAUUUGGUGUCUUGGGGAAUCAGGACUGUUACUUUGAAAAAAUUAGAGUGUUUAAAGCAGGCUCGCGCUUGAAUACAUUAGCAUGGAAUAAUGAAAUAGGACGUUUGAUUCUAUUUUGUUGGUUUCUAGGAUCGACGUAAUGAUUAAUAGGGAUAGUUGGGGGCAUUAGUAUUCAAUUGUCAGAGGUGAAAUUCUUGGAUUUAUUGAAGACUAACUACUGCGAAAGCAUUUGCCAAGGAUGUUUCAUUAAUCAAGAACGAAAGUUAGGGGAUCGAAGACGAUCAGAUACCGUCGUGGUCUUAACCAUAGACUAUGCCGACUAGGGAUCGGAUGAUGUUAAUUUUUAAUGA